RNAcentral lists this ribosomal RNA (497 nucleotides) under uncultured bacterium. RNAcentral's name for it is "partial 16S ribosomal RNA". It matches the Rfam family "Bacterial small subunit ribosomal RNA", at positions 28 to 507 of the family's 1533-position model. The record is from RNAcentral.
GAUGAACGCUGGCGGCGUGCCUAAUACAUGCAAGUCGAGCGAACGGACGAGAAGCUUGCUUCUCUGAUGUUAGCGGCGGACGGGUGAGUAACACGUGGAUAACCUACCUAUAAGACUGGGAUAACUUCGGGAAACCGGAGCUAAUACCGGAUAAUAUUUUGAACCGCAGGGUUCAAAAGUGAAAGACGGUCUUGCUGUCACUUAUAGAUGGAUCCGCGCUGCAUUAGCUAGUUGGUAAGGUAACGGCUUACCAAGGCAACGAUGCAUAGCCGACCUGAGAGGGUGAUCGGCCACACUGGAACUGAGCCACGGUCCAGACUCCUACGGGAGGCAGCAGUAGGGAAUCUUCCGCAAUGGGCGAAAGCCUGACGGAGCAACGCCGCGUGAGUGAUGAAGGUCUUCGGAUCGUAAAACUCUGUUAUUAGGGAAGAACAUAUGUGUAAGUAACUGUGCACAUCUUGACGGUACCUAAUCAGAAAGCCACGGCUAACUACGUG